Molecule: long non-coding RNA, 2764 nt
Filed under: Homo sapiens (human)
Lineage: Eukaryota; Metazoa; Chordata; Mammalia; Primates; Hominidae
Description: long independently transcribed non-coding RNA 2718, transcript variant 3 (LINC02718)
Source: RNAcentral
GAAGAUCCGGCGCAGCUAAAGUCAGUGGAAGGUAGAAAGACGCCACAGCCGCCUUUCGACAACUUUUUGUUACAAAAGUGGAGAUCUACACGGAGGCGACGGCCUAGGUCGCUCUGACAGGACCCAACGACCCUCCUGACGCGUCCACCCGUCCUCGCUAGCAGGGUCCCCCAGCGGGCUCUCGACCUGCGCCACCAGAGUUCCACUCUUUUUGUCGACAAUAAUAUGGCGCCCAAACACGUGGGGCCUCAGAGAAGACUCUGGAUCCGGAAGGAGUAUCCCAAAACCAGAGCUAAGGUACCAGCUGGAGCCCACUGAAGCCUCACCGAGUUUGGGCUUCUCCUCCUGUGGAACUGGAAACCAAAAUCAUGGUAUUUUGAAAACCAGAGGUAUGAAUCUCCCUCGUUUGGCAUCCCACUGGGCCUGGACCUGUUUCACUGCUAAUGUUCUGCUGCCAAAACUAUACAAGCUGCCUGGACUAUUGCAGAAGAGAGACAGAGUCUUGCUCUGUUGCCCAGAAUGGAAUGCAGUAGCACAAUCCUAACUAAUCGUAACCUUGAACUCCUGGGUUCAAGCGAUCCUCCUGCCUCAGCCUCCUCAGUAUAGGACUACAGGCGUGCCCAGUUCAAAGUACCAACCUGGAGAAAAUGCCCUGGAUUUGGAAGCAAAGUAUUGAAUGUUGGAAGUCUGAAUAAAGGAAUCAUACACUGUAUGUGCACCUGAAUGUACUUUACAAGCAUCAGUAGAACACUUCUGAUUGAAGCUUGGUCUUAUGAAGAUAAAAAUUUUAUGUGGACCACAGAUUCUCUAAAAAUCAAUGCUUCCUGUCCUCAAACAUCGGACUCCAAAUUCUUCAGCUUUGGGACGGACUGGCUUCCUUGCUCCUCAGCUUGCAGACAGCCGACUGUGGGACCUUGUGAUCAUUUUGGAAACAGAUACUGCAAUCCCAGAAAAUCUUGCCAUAAGAAGAGCCUAGCCAAUAGUUUGACUGCGAUUUCAUGGGAGACCUCAAGGCAGAGUGAUCCAGAAUACCACAGUCUGGAGGCUAUGAAGUCCAUGAUUAAGAAGCCAGCACGUUUGCUUUCUGGUUCCAAGAUGGCAUACCUUUUUGCUGCUUCCUCCAGAGAGGAGGAACACUGUGUUCUCACAUAGUAGAAGAUGGAAGGAGCAGAUGCAGAUGAGCAUGGCAAUGUGAGAAUAUGUCAGAGGCCCCAGGAUGAAAUGAGCUCAAGUCCCUGAAAUCCCUGUUAGAAGAGUCUUUCCACUGGUUGGGAAUGCUAAUUGUAUUUUGACAACUCAAUGUUUCAGCAACUCAAAAUGUUACAGCUUCUGCAUUGGAAUAAAAAAAGGAAAGAAAACAGAAUUUGUACUCAUAUCAGAAGGCAAUCAAAGAACAUACACAUAAUAUACAUUCUAUUAUAGAGGGAGAUGAAGAAGAAGUAUGGAAGAAGUAAGAUGAAGAAGAAGUAUGGAAGAAGUAAGCUUUAGAACCAUGCAGAAAGAAGAGUGCUUCACAGAAUGAUUGCUUUAUGAAGCAUAAGGAGAAACAGAUGAACAUGUGAACAGUGAAAGAUCUUUUCCAUGGAACUGUGUUCAUCCUCUGAUUAAAACGAAUUGUGUAAAGUUGUAUAUUGUAUUUCACCCUUAGCAUUUGGAAAUGUGCAUGUAAUUUUGGUUUUGGUGCUUCAUUACAAUAAUGCGUAGAAAGAAAAAAGGUAUUUAUAGAAUAUUGCAAAAGCAAAUUUGUAGGAUAAAAUAUGUCUGGCCAUGUGUAUUAGAUACUAGUUAACUCAUAUCAUUACUUCAUUGGUACUUCACUAAAUUAUGUCACAAAAGCAAAUACAGGAUUUUCCAGAGCAUGCUUUUGGAAAAAUCUGAAGUUUUAUUGAGGACUCAUUAAUUUUCCCUGUCCCAUAACUUACAAUUUAUUUCACAAGCAUUAUAAACUUCAGAUCAUUCAGAUAUUGCAUUUUAGUAUUGUAAAUUAUAAGAAUAGAUUUAGAAUGCAUACUUUUUGAGGAUAGGUUGCUUUCCUUAAUGAAAGUAUCAUAUUUUUAGUUUACAGUGAAAUUUAAAGAAUGGUUUAUUAUUUGAGCUACAAUUGCAAAAACUUUAGAUAAUACAUUUAAACUUGGCAUUAGAAAGAAAAAAACUUUCUAAAUAGAAAAACUUUUCAACUUUUCUAUUUUUCAACUAGAAAUUUAUACAGUUAGAAUGUUUUUAAAGAAAAAGUUUUAUCUGUAAGGGAAGUGCUUACUGCCAACAUAUUUCACCAAAGCUUAAAUUCUCAAGAGGACAUGUCAUCCUUAUAAGCAAACCAUUCUGAUUACAUCAAUCACAUUAUAUUACCUUGGGUGACUGACUUGCAUGAGAAACCAGCAGUUGUGACUUGAAUUGCAAUAUGCAAGACAGUAAAAACCAUAUUUUACUUUAAAAUAUAUUAAUGUAUUACUUUUCCUAAUAAAAUACAUUGAAAAUUUUUAUCAGUAGCCAGGAAAUUAUAGAACUAGGCAGUUGUAUUCCUGAAGCACUUUCAGUGUUCAUGAUAAUUAAUUUGAGAAGUAGACUCUUAUCACACAGUAGCAUCUGUUGAACAUUCUUGUUUUUGGUAAAAUUAAUUUCUGACUGAUUCAUGAAAUAAAUGAUAAGGAACAUAAAUUCAGCUCUUUACUGUAUGACUCAUGUAACCUAUGACUUUUUGGGGGAAGUUUCACAUAAUGGGAAUACAUUAAGAAAUGUUUUAAAUAAAAACACAUAUAACUAA